This 483-nucleotide ribosomal RNA is filed under the name uncultured bacterium. RNAcentral describes it as "partial 16S ribosomal RNA". The record is from RNAcentral.
GUAGUUAGCCGGGGCUUCCUCCUUGGCUACCGUCAUUUUUUCGUCACCAAGGACAGAGGUUUACAACCCGAAAGCCUUCUUCCCUCACGCGGCGUUGCUGGGUCAGGCUUGCGCCCAUUGCCCAAUAUUCCCCACUGCUGCCUCCCGUAGGAGUCUGGACCGUGUCUCAGUUCCAGUGUGGCCGAUCAGCCUCUCAGCUCGGCUACCCAUCGCUGACUUGGUGGGCCGUUACCCCGCCAACUAUCUAAUGGGACGCGAACCCCUCCAAUUGCGGAUUGCUCCUUUGACCUCAUCCCGAUGCCGGGUCGUGGUCUUAUGCGGUAUUAGCACUUGUUUCCAGGUGUUAUCCCCCUCAACUGGUCAGGUUGUUCACGCGUUACUCACCCGUUCGCCACUAAGCUAUAUCCGAAAACAUAGCUCCGUUCGACUUGCAUGUGUUAGGCACGCCGCCAGCGUUCGUCCUGAGCCAGAAUCGAACCCUGA